RNAcentral lists this ribosomal RNA (448 nucleotides) under Babesia vogeli. RNAcentral's name for it is "SSU rRNA". It matches the Rfam family "Eukaryotic small subunit ribosomal RNA", at positions 509 to 1008 of the family's 1831-position model. Lineage: Eukaryota; Apicomplexa; Aconoidasida; Piroplasmida; Babesiidae. The record is from RNAcentral.
CGUUAGGGGGAUCGAAGAAAACCCUCACCAGAGUAGCAAUUGGAGGGCAAGUCUGGUGCCAGCAGCCGCGGUAAUUCCAGCUCCAAUAGCGUAUAUUAAACUUGUUGCAGUUAAAAAGCUCGUAGUUGAAUUUUAGCGUGUUCGAGUUUGCCAUUCGUUUGGCUUUUUCGAGUUCGCUUUUGGGUUUUCCCUUUUUACUUUGAGAAAAUUAGAGUGUUUCAAGCAGACUUUUGUCUUGAAUACUUCAGCAUGGAAUAAUAGAGUAGGACUUUGGUUCUAUUUUGUUGGUUAUUGAACCUUAGUAAUGGUUAAUAGGAACGGUUGGGGGCAUUCGUAUUUAACUGUCAGAGGUGAAAUUCUUAGAUUUGUUAAAGACGAACUACUGCGAAAGCAUUUGCCAAGGACGUUUCCAUUAAUCAAGAACGAAAGUUAGGGGAUCGAAGAAAGC